This 491-nucleotide ribosomal RNA is filed under the name uncultured bacterium. RNAcentral describes it as "partial 16S ribosomal RNA". It matches the Rfam family "Bacterial small subunit ribosomal RNA", at positions 29 to 507 of the family's 1533-position model. The record is from RNAcentral.
AGUGAACGCUGGCGGUAGGCCUAACACAUGCAAGUCGAACGGCAGCACAGUAAGAGCUUGCUCUUACGGGUGGCGAGUGGCGGACGGGUGAGGAAUACAUCGGAAUCUACUUUUUCGUGGGGGAUAACGUAGGGAAACUUACGCUAAUACCGCAUACGACCUACGGGUGAAAGCAGGGGACAUUUGCGCCUGGUGGGAUUGAAGGCGCGGUGUCGGAUUUGGUUGGUGGGGGGGUUAAGGCCCAACAAGGUGACGAUUCGUAGCUGGGCGGGGGGGAUGGUCAGCCACACUGGAACUGAGACACGGUCCAGACUCCUACGGGAGGGAGCAGUGGGGAAUAUUGGACAAUAGGCGCAAGCCUGAUCCAGCCAUACCGCGUGGGUGGAGAAGGCCUUCGGGUUGUAAAGACCUUUUGUUGGGAGAGAAAAGCAGCAGGUUAAUACCCCGCUGUUCUGACGGUACCCAAAGAAUAAGCACCGGCUAACUUCGUG